Rosa rugosa (rugosa rose) is the source of this 2060-nucleotide long non-coding RNA. RefSeq lists it as uncharacterized. The transcript is spliced from 2 exons. NCBI's taxonomy places the organism in Eukaryota, Viridiplantae, Streptophyta, Magnoliopsida, Rosales, Rosaceae. The record is from RefSeq and is a predicted model, not a curated record.
UGUUGUUCCAUUUUUUGCUCCCUUCUUUCUUUCUUCUCUUAGCCAAACCCAGACAAACUCGAAGCAUAGCUAAAUACUCCCAGAACAAGGCAUACCUUUGCCAAUCGAUGAAGGACUUUGAGAUGGAUUUGGAGAUGCAACAUGACUUGGAGAUGGAGACGAGCCUGGGUCUUUGUCAAAACAGAAUUUCUCAACCAUUGAAGCUUGCAAUUGGCUUCAUCGCUUCUUAGUGAGAAAAAAAUUGGGGUAUCCACCACUUAGGAGUUUGCUUCUUCACCUUUUGAUGUUCAAUUUGGCUUCUGCGUUUUAUUGAACAAAUGGUGUGCUUCGAAUGGCCGUCAAAUUAGUAGCGAAAUUCCCGCCUUUGAUCACAACUCAGGUAUAUAUGUAAAGCUCCAUUUUUCUGUAAUGGGUUAAGAAUUCUUGUACUUCUUAAGCCCGAUAACAUGUAUUCGGAGCUUGAUUUUAAGAAGAGAUAUUAAACUGGACUCCGUGCUUUCACCGACAACUCUCCUUCAAUUAACUCUCUUUAGUUUUGCUUGUAGGUGUUAUUGGAGGGACAGUUCUUGCUGACAUAGAGUGAUAAUGGUUCUUCUUUUGUUUUUCAAUUGUGAUCAAUAAAGGAACAUGUUCUUUGUCUCCAUCCGACUUUGUUUUCCUUGGCUAGAAUACAUCUCCAGCAAUUGCCUUCAUAUUUUAUAUUUGUUUUUCUUUAUGUGCCAAUACCUUUUGGAGGAGUUUAAACAAAACAAUUCCCUUAGCCAAUACGUGGCUUUGCAAGGGAUAAUCUUGUUCAUGUUUUGUUAAUAUGCAAAGGCCAAAACUUGUUUCCUUUCAAUAACUUGGUCACCACUUUGACGUAGAAGCUCUGCAUUAUAUUUAUAAAUGCGAAGCUUUGCUGCAACUUCAUUAUAUUAUUGAUUUGAUAGAGCAACUUGUAACAGGUCUUGCAGGACUUUUGUUUAACUCAUUUUGUUGUGUUGGUGUGCAGGUAGAGCUUCGGUAGUGACCACUGAGAAAGAAUAUAUUUCGAGCUUGCCUUAUAUUUGGGGCAAAAGCUUUGCCUCUGGAAGUAACAGCUUCUGUAAUUGUUUUGAUAUGUAAGAACAAUGCUCUCGCACUGCACCUCAUUGACAAAUACCCCUUUUUGUAUGCAGGUACAGAACAACGACAAAAGCCGCAGUGUCAUAAAUUGUCGAAAGUUAAUUUCUUUUAGUUUCUUUGCACCGCUUUUGUGUUACUUGAAUUGGAAUUUGGGGCAGGCUGUUUGGCUAUGACGGUUGACAGGGAGCAGGGAUGAUUAUGGCCUUUGGUUUCUUUUGUUUGCCAUUUAGCACCAUCGUACUCCAGCAGCCUUGUAUUUGCUUUGUUGCUGCUGAGAGCGAGUUCAGCGAAGCAUCGUAGCUAUGAAAGCUUUGGGAGACAGAUCUCGAUGACGAUACGGCACCCUAAGGCACGCCGUGUUGGAGCUCGACGACAAUAUCGGCACCCUAAGGCACGCCGUGUCGGAGCUUGAAGAGGAUACGGCACCCUAAGGCACGCCGUGCAGGAGCUCGACGACAAUAUCGGCACCCUAAGGCACGCCGUGUCGGAGCAUAUAUGAUAUACCAUAGGGUAUCUGUCGCUGGAGGCCUGCAUCAUCUGAGGACAGCAAAGGAAAGGUGCAGAUCGGUGAAAAGCUCACCUCCUCUUUCUUGCUUUCUUCCUCUCCUUGGCUGCUGUAGCUCUGCUUCUUCACGAUGCUCCUCACACUGCUAUGCUCCUCCCAUUCGUCCCUUUCGUUGCCGUAGAGUAAACUCUUUAUAUAUAGACAACUUUUGUUUGCCAAGAUGACCUGAUGGUGAUGGAGUUGGAGUCAUUAAGGCUGAGAGUUCGUGAUUAAUUUGGAAUCAGUAACUCCACCUUUAUUAACGUGUACACUUCAGCUUCAUUGUUGUAUUCUUUUACACUUCUUUCUUCUGAAUUUGAACAAAGCUAGAGUAAUCCAAAAGUAGAUAGACUUCUGGAAGAAGCGUGCCACUUUUACACUCUCUCCUUUAACGAAAAUGUUUUUUCCUUUA